AGUGAACGCUGGCGGUAGGCCUAACACAUGCAAGUCGAACGGCAGCACAGUAAGAGCUUGCUCUUACGGGUGGCGAGUGGCGGACGGGUGAGGAAUACAUCGGAAUCUACUUUUUCGUGGGGGAUAACGUAGGGAAACUUACGCUAAUACCGCAUACGACCUACGGGUGAAAGCAGGGGAUCUUCGGACCUUGCGCGAUUGAAUGAGCCGAUGUCGGAUUAGCUAGUUGGCGGGGUAAAGGCCCACCAAGGCGACGAUCCGUAGCUGGUCUGUGAGGAUGAUCAGCCACACUGGAACUGAGACACGGUCCAGACUCCUACGGGAGGCAGCAGUGGGGAAUAUUGGACAAUGGGCGCAAGCCUGAUCCAGCCAUACCGCGUGGGUGAAGAAGGCCUUCGGGUUGUAAAGCCCUUUUGUUGGGAAAGAAAAGCAGCAGGUUAAUACCCCGCUGUUCUGACGGUACCCAAAGAAUAAGCACCGGCUAACUUCGU
Molecule: ribosomal RNA, 491 nt
Filed under: uncultured bacterium
Lineage: Bacteria
Description: partial 16S ribosomal RNA
Rfam family: Bacterial small subunit ribosomal RNA
Source: RNAcentral